This 1089-nucleotide ribosomal RNA is filed under the name Micrococcus luteus. RNAcentral's name for it is "bacterial LSU rRNA". It matches the Rfam family "Bacterial large subunit ribosomal RNA", at positions 1245 to 2219 of the family's 2925-position model. The record is from RNAcentral. Lineage: Bacteria; Bacillati; Actinomycetota; Actinomycetes; Micrococcales; Micrococcaceae.
ACGAGGUGAAGCCAGCGGGUAACUUCUGGUGGAUUGUGGACGAGUGAGAAUGCAGGCAUGAGUAGCGAAAGACGGGUGAGAAACCCGUCCGCCGGAUGACUAAGGGUUCCAGGGUCAAGCUAAUCUGCCCUGGGUAAGUCGGGACCUAAGGCGAGGCCGACAGGCGUAGUCGAUGGACAACGGGUUGAUAUUCCCGUACCAGUGAAGAACCGCCCAUGCUGAGCCGGUGAUACUAACCGCCCGAACCAUCCCGAACCUCGUCUUUGACGGGGACGGUGGUGGGGAGCGCGGGACCUGAACCGGGGGAGGCAAGCGCAUUAACAGGUGUGACGCAGGAAGGUAGCCGGGCCGGGCAAUGGAAAUGACCUGGUCUAAGGGUGUAGGGCUGCCGGUAGGUAAAUCCGCCGGCUGUAUGCCUGAGACCUGAUGGGCGCCCACAUGGUGGGUGAUCCGGUGAUCCUAUGCUGCCUAGAAAAGCAUCGGCGCGAGGUUCAAACUGCCCGUACCCUAAACCGACACAGGUGGUCAGGUAGAGAAUACUAAGGCGAUCGAGAGAAUCAUGGUUAAGGAACUCGGCAAAAUGCCCCCGUAACUUCGGGAGAAGGGCCCCAACCUUGAGCACCACUCGCUGGUGUGAGGGGAUCGGGGCCGCAGAGACCAGGGGGAAGCGACUGUUUAUCAAAAACACAGGUCCAUGCGAAGUCGUAAGAGAUGUAUAUGGACUGACUCCUGCCCGGUGCUGGAAGGUUAAGGGGACCCGUUAGCUUCGGCGAAGCGGAGAACUUAAGCCCCAGUAAACGGCGGUGGUAACUAUAACCAUCCUAAGGUAGCGAAAUUCCUUGUCGGGUAAGUUCCGACCUGCACGAAUGGAGUAACGACUUCCCCGCUGUCUCAACCGUGAACUCGGCGAAAUUGCAUUACGAGUAAAGAUGCUCGUUACGCGCAGAAGGACGGAAAGACCCCGUGACCUUUACUAUAGUUUGGUAUUGGUGUUCGGUGUGGCUUGUGUAGGAUAGGUGGGAGACUGUGAAGCGGGCACGCCAGUGUUCAUGGAGUCAUCGUUGAAAUACCACUCUGGUCACUCUGGAU